Molecule: small nucleolar RNA, 78 nt
Organism: Anneissia japonica
Lineage: Eukaryota; Metazoa; Echinodermata; Crinoidea; Comatulida; Comatulidae
Source: RefSeq, a predicted model, not a curated record
AUGUUAUGAUGAUUCAAUUAACACCAUCUUUCGACUGAAAAACUUUGACUAGAUAUAUUAAUUGUUCUGAACAUGCUU